CGGUAAUACGUAGGGUGCAAGCGUUAAUCGGAAUUACUAAACGUGGGGCGUGCGCAGGCGGUUUUGUAAGUCUGAUGUGGUAUAUGCGGGCUCGGUUCGGGAAUUGCAUUGGAGUGUAAAAGGCUAGAAUCUGGCAGAGGGGGGUAGAAUUCCACGUGUAGCAGUGAAAUGCGUAGAGAUGUGGAGGAACACCGAUGGCGAAGGCAGCCCCCUGGGUCAAGAUUGACGCUCAUGCACGAAAGCGUGGGGAGCAAACAGGAUUAGAUACCCUGGUAGUCCACGCCCUAAACGAUGUCUACUAGUUGUCGGGUUUUAAUUAACUUGGUAACGCAGCUAACGCGUGAAGUAGACCGCCUACGGAGUACGGUCGCAAGAUUAAG
RNAcentral lists this ribosomal RNA (380 nucleotides) under uncultured bacterium. RNAcentral describes it as "bacterial SSU rRNA". It matches the Rfam family "Bacterial small subunit ribosomal RNA", at positions 518 to 898 of the family's 1533-position model. The record is from RNAcentral.